CAGGUUGAAGGUUGGGUAACACUAACUGGAGGACCGAACCGACUAAUGUUGAAAAAUUAGCGGAUGACCUGUGGCUGGGGGUGAAAGGCCAAUCAAACCGGGAGAUAGCUGGUUCUCCCCGAAAGCUAUUUAGGUAGCGCCUCGUGAAUUCAUCUCCGGGGGUAGAGCACUGUUUCGGCUAGGGGGCCAUCCCGGCUUACCAACCCGAUGCAAACUGCGAAUACCGGAGAAUGUUAUCACGGGAGACACACGGCGGGUGCUAACGUCCGUCGUGAAGAGGGAAACAACCCAGACCGCCAGCUAAGGUCCCAAAGUCAUGGUUAAGUGGGAAACGAUGUGGGAAGGCCCAGACAGCCAGGAUGUUGGCUUAGAAGCAGCCAUCAUUUAAAGAAAGCGUAAUAGCUCACUGGUCGAGUCGGCCUGCGCGGAAGAUGUAACGGGGCUAAACCAUGCACCGAAGCUGCGGCAGCGAACGUAUCACCCAAGACAACUUUACGGAGUUGACGAUUGACGGAGCGAAGCGACGUCAAAGCGUUCAUUAAAGUCGAGUUGGCUUAGGGAUACGUUCGUUGGGUAGGGGAGCGUUCUGUAAGCCUGUGAAGGUGUGUCGUGAGGCAUGCUGGAGGUAUCAGAAGUGCGAAUGCUGACAUAAGUAACGAUAAAGCGGGUGAAAAGCCCGCUCGCCGGAAGACCAAGGGUUCCUGUCCAACGUUAAUCGGGGCAGGGUGAGUCGACCCCUAAGGCGAGGCCGAAAGGCGUAGUCGAUGGGAAACGGGUUAAUAUUCCCGUACUUGGUGUUACUGCGAAGGGGGGACGGAGAAGGCUAUGUUGGCCGGGCGACGGUUGUCCCGGUUUAAGCGUGUAGGUGUGUGUUCCAGGUAAAUCCGGUUCACUUUAACACUGAGGCGUGACGACGA
This 917-nucleotide ribosomal RNA is filed under the name Salmonella enterica subsp. enterica serovar Typhimurium. RNAcentral describes it as "partial 23S ribosomal RNA". It matches the Rfam family "Bacterial large subunit ribosomal RNA", at positions 741 to 1572 of the family's 2925-position model. The record is from RNAcentral. Lineage: Bacteria; Pseudomonadati; Pseudomonadota; Gammaproteobacteria; Enterobacterales; Enterobacteriaceae.